GAUGAACGCUAGCGGCAGGCUUAAUACAUGCAAGUCAAGGGGGUAGCAAUACAACCGGCGCACGGGUGAGUAACGCGUACACAACAUACCAUAUACUGGGGUAUAGCUUUGGGAAACUGAAGGUAAUCCCCCAUAACAUUGCGAGAGGGCAUCUGAUUGCAAUUAAAGUUUCGGCGGUAUAUGAUUGGUGUGCGUUUGAUUAGCUAGUUGGUAGGGUAACGGCCUACCAAGGCGACGAUCAAUAGCUGGCGUGAGAGCGCGACCAGCCACACUGGAACUGAGACACGGUCCAGACUCCUACGGGAGGCAGCAGUAGGGAAUAUUGGACAAUGGAGGAAACUCUGAUCCAGCCAUGCCGCGUGAUAGAUGAAGGCCCUCUGGGUUGUAAAUAUCUUUUAUCUGGGAAGAACAAUCUUAUUCUUAAGAUACUUGACGGUACCAGAGGAAUAAGCACCGGCUAACUCGUGCCAGCAGCCGCGGUAAU
This 484-nucleotide ribosomal RNA is filed under the name uncultured bacterium. RNAcentral describes it as "bacterial SSU rRNA". It matches the Rfam family "Bacterial small subunit ribosomal RNA", at positions 28 to 524 of the family's 1533-position model. The record is from RNAcentral.